Molecule: transfer RNA, 67 nt
Filed under: bovine gut metagenome
Rfam family: tRNA
About the family: Transfer RNA (tRNA) molecules are approximately 80 nucleotides in length.
Source: RNAcentral
GGAUGUAGCUCAAUCGGUAGAGCGUCUGAUUGUGGUUCAGAAUGUUGCGGGUUCGAGUCCCGUCUUC